This 381-nucleotide ribosomal RNA is filed under the name uncultured Sordariales. Its description in RNAcentral is "eukaryotic LSU rRNA". The stretch from base 51 to 205 matches the Rfam family "5.8S ribosomal RNA". The record is from RNAcentral. Lineage: Eukaryota; Fungi; Ascomycota; Sordariomycetes; Sordariales.
GUUUUUUUUUUUUUGAGCACUCUGAGUAAGGUCAAAUGAAUCCUUUUUAAAACUUUCAACAACGGAUCUCUUGGUUCUGGCAUCGAUGAAGAACGCAGCGAAAUGCGAUAAGUAAUGUGAAUUGCAGAAUUCCAGUGAAUCAUCGAAUUUUUGAACGCACAUUGCGCCCAUUAGCACUCUAAUGGGCAUGCCUGUCCGAGCGUCAUUUCAACCACUCAGACCUAUAGAGUCUGGCGUUGGGGCAUCUACAGUUAAUCGUAUGCCCUGAAAGAUAGUGGCGGUGUCCGCUAGCAUUCCGGGCGCAGUACAGUUUCUCCUCGCCCAGGGACGUCUUAGGGGCUGCCGGCCGUAAAACAGCCUAAAGCUUAGAAGGGUGACCUC